Molecule: ribosomal RNA, 468 nt
Filed under: uncultured bacterium
Lineage: Bacteria
Description: partial 16S ribosomal RNA
Rfam family: Bacterial small subunit ribosomal RNA
Source: RNAcentral
GACGAACGCUGGCGGCGUGCUUAACACAUGCAAGUCGAACGGAAAGGCCCUGCUUUUGUGGGGUGCUCGAGUGGCGAACGGGUGAGUAACACGUGAGUAACCUGCCCUUGACUUUGGGAUAACUUCAGGAAACUGGGGCUAAUACCGGAUAGGAGCUCCUGCCGCAUGGUGGGGGUUGGAAAGUUUCGGCGGUUGGGGAUGGACUCGCGGCUUAUCAGCUUGUUGGUGGGGUUGUGGCUUACCAAGGCUUUGACGGGGAGCCGGCCUGAGAGGGUGACCGGCCACAUUGGGACUGAGAUACGGCCCAGACUCCUACGGGAGGCAGCAGUGGGGAUUAUUGCCCAAUGGGCGGAAGCCUGAUGCAGCAACGCCGCGUGCGGGAUGACGGCCUUCGGGUUGUAAACCGCUUUCGCCUGUGACGAGGCGUGAGUGACGGUAAUGGGUAAAGAAGCACCGGCUAACUACGUG